Molecule: ribosomal RNA, 465 nt
Filed under: Vreelandella stevensii
Lineage: Bacteria; Pseudomonadati; Pseudomonadota; Gammaproteobacteria; Oceanospirillales; Halomonadaceae
Description: partial 16S ribosomal RNA
Rfam family: Bacterial small subunit ribosomal RNA
Source: RNAcentral
CCUACGGGCGGCUGCAGUGGGGAAUAUUGGACAAUGGGCGAAAGCCUGAUCCAGCCAUGCCGCGUGUGUGAAGAAGGCCUUCGGGUUGUAAAGCACUUUCAGUGGGGAAGAAAGCCUUGGGGCUAAUACCCUCGAGGAAGGACAUCACCCACAGAAGAAGCACCGGCUAACUCCGUGCCAGCAGCCGCGGUAAUACGGAGGGUGCGAGCGGUAAUCGGAAUUACUGGGCGUAAAGCGCGCGUAGGCGGUCUGAUAAGCCGGUUGUGAAAGCCCCGGGCUCAACCUGGGAACGGCAUCCGGAACUGUCAGGCUAGAGUGCAGGAGAGGAAGGUAGAAUUCCCGGUGUAGCGGUGAAAUGCGUAGAGAUCGGGAGGAAUACCAGUGGCGAAGGCGGCCUUCUGGACUGACACUGACGCUGAGGUGCGAAAGCGUGGGUAGCAAACAGGAUUAGAUACCCCAGUAGUC